AUGGAAGCGAUGGUGAGCGGCGGCACCGGGGAGUCGAUCCUGACGUCGAUGAAGUUUGCGGUGCUGCCGAUCGCCAAGGUGUUCACAUUGUGCUUCAUGGGCUUCCUCAUGGCCACCAGGUACAUCGGCAUCCUCGACGCCAACGGCCGCAAGCUUCUCAACGGGCUAGUGUUUUCCCUACUACUUCCGUGCCUUAUAUUCACUCAGCUUGGACGAGCAAUUACAGUGCAGAAACUGUUAGACUGGUGGUACAUCCCUUUAAAUAUUGUUCUGGGGACAGUGUCUGGUUCUCUAGUGGGCCUUCUUGUGGCGUUCAUUGUACAGCCGCCACGUCCAUAUUUCAAGUUCACCGUUGUCCACAUCGCCAUAGGUAACAAUGGAAACAUGCCUCUUGUCCUGAUCGCCGCUCUCUGUCGAGACCCAUCAAACCCGUUUGGCGACCCUGAGAAAUGCAAGCAGGACGGCAACGCAUACGUCUCCUUUGGGCAAUGGGUCGGGGCGAUCAUCUUGUACAGCUACGUGUUUCAGAUGCUUGCGCCGCCGCCUGGUGAAACCUUCGACGGAAGCAGAGUGGAGAAGCCCCCUCCCCCGGCCCUGGCUGCCGCACCUGCACCUGAACAAGUUCCCCUGCUAACGUCGCGUGCAUCUGAACAAGCUCCCAAGUGCUCAAAAGUAAGAUGUUUUUCUUUCUUCCGUAGUUCUGUCGUUACAAGUUCUUCCGAAGCACUGGAAAGCCUGCACAUCUUUGUUCGGAAAUUUAAGCUGAAGCGAGUGUUUGAACCACCGGUGAUUGCCUCGGCACUGGGGAUUUCCAUUGGAGCAACGCCAUCCCUGAAGCACUUGGUCCUGACUAACCACGCCCCGUUAUUCUUCUUUACCGAUGCCUGCAUCAUUCUUGGGGGGGCAAUGAUCCCAUGCAUCUUGCUCGCCCUCGGAGGCAAUCUCGUCGAUGGUCCGGGUGCGGGCAGCAAGAAGCUGGGACUGAGGACGACGGCGGCGAUCAUCAUCGGGCGGCUGGUGCUGGUCCCACCGGCGGGGAUGUGCAUGGUCGCCCUGGCGGACAGGCUGGGGUUCAUCCCGAGGGGCGACACCAUGUUCAAGUUCGUCCUCCUCCUGCAGCACUCCAUGCCCACCUCCGUGCUCUCCGGGGCCGUCGCUAAUCUGCGCGGUUGCGGGGAGGAGUCGGCGGCGGUGCUCUUCUGGAUGUACGUUUGCGCCGUCUUCUCCGUCGCCGGGUGGAUGGUGCUCUACAUCAGGAUGCUCUUCUGA
This 1269-nucleotide ribosomal RNA is filed under the name Triticum aestivum (bread wheat). RNAcentral describes it as "partial small subunit ribosomal RNA". The record is from RNAcentral. Lineage: Eukaryota; Viridiplantae; Streptophyta; Magnoliopsida; Poales; Poaceae.